This 176-nucleotide small nuclear RNA is filed under the name Carlito syrichta (Philippine tarsier). Its description in RNAcentral is "U2 spliceosomal RNA (ENSTSYG00000024438.2)". It matches the Rfam family "U2 spliceosomal RNA". Rfam says of the family: U2 is a small nuclear RNA (snRNA) component of the spliceosome (involved in pre-mRNA splicing). Complementary binding between U2 snRNA (in an area lying towards the 5' end but 3' to hairpin I) and the branchpoint sequence (BPS) of the intron results the bulging out of an unpaired adenosine, on the BPS, which initiates a nucleophilic attack at the intronic 5' splice site, thus starting the first of two transesterification reactions that mediate splicing. Lineage: Eukaryota; Metazoa; Chordata; Mammalia; Primates; Tarsiidae. The record is from RNAcentral.
AUCGCUUCUCGGUCUUUUGGCUAAGAUCAAGUGUAGUAUCUGUUCUUAUCAGUUUAACACUAAGUCUGUAAACAUCUGAAAAGUGCAUUAAAUAUUUUAGUAAAGGCAAUAUAUACAUAAAGUGGUACACUAUUAAUCUCAUGGAUCAUUCAAGAUCAUCUAGAAAUUGGAUCCAU